Panicum virgatum (switchgrass) is the source of this 1940-nucleotide long non-coding RNA. RefSeq lists it as uncharacterized. The record is from RefSeq and is a predicted model, not a curated record. The transcript is spliced from 2 exons. Lineage: Eukaryota; Viridiplantae; Streptophyta; Magnoliopsida; Poales; Poaceae.
GUGCUCUUGCCGUAAUCGCACCACACACAAAAUACACGACACAGACACAACGAGUUCUAGUCAAGGAAUUGGAAGAAGGAAGGAGCAAAUUCAGGUACUGAUGUCCUGUUCCUUUCAGUUUUUUUCUUUAUCGUAGGUGAUGAGCAUGCAGUAACGACAGUAGCCUAUUAAUCAAGUCUAGUCACUUUUCGGCCUCGUUUAGUUGCCCGUGUAAAGUUGUAAAAAUGGAAUAUUUGCACAUUUGAAAUAUUAAAUAUAGACUAAUCACAAAACUAAUUACAAAACUCGUCUGUAAACUACGAGACGAAUCUAAUGAGCCUAAUUAAUCCAUCAUUAGAGCAUGUGUAUUGUAGCAAUUACUGUAGCAAUUUAGUGUCUAAUCAUAGCUUAAUUAGGCUUAUUAGAUUCGUCUCGCAAUGUAAGCAAACUAUGCAAUUCAUUUUUUAUUUCAUCUUGAUUUAGUACUCCAUGCUUGUAAGAUUCUCUUUUGAUGUGAUAGAUUUGUGAUUUUGAAUUUCGUAACUAAACAAAGCCUUCAUCUAACUCAUGCAUGCAUGGCGCACAAAUGAAACUCUCACCUAUUCUUGCUAAUUGAUGAUGUUCCUAGUAACUUGCAGCUAUUGGUUUUACCAGGAUCUACAAAAGAAGCUUUGAUAACAGGAGGAAUACUCAUUAAUCAAGGCAAGACUGUGUAUAUCUAUUAACCUGCUCUAAAUUAAUUAGCAAUGUGAUAAGCUGAUCUAGGCAGAAUAUGCCGUGAGCUACUAUAUGAUUUGAAGACAGUUGAAUUAUAUUAAUUAAUUGCAGUAACAUCGUCAUUAUCUGGGUAAGUAUUGGUAUGCUCAGCCUGAGACGACCAAAACCUGAAAUAAUGAUGCACAGACUGGCUGUGGUCAGUGUGAGUAGGAACAACUCAUACAAGUAGGGUCUUUGGUGACGUGAUUCUCAGAUGAAGGGCAGUACCCUAUAUAAAAUAUUAAUGGAGAAAGAUUAUGACGGUACAUGUGAUAUAUCUCUGCAGAGUAUAUUGUUUUAAUUAGCUGACUAACUUUUAAUUAUGCCUUAAUUCCUUAUUAUUCUUGCAGAGUGUGUGUAAACAUACUCAUAUUAGCUCUUCCUUUUGAUAUGCGCAGAAGGGGAGAAGAAUAGUCUUGAUUUGAUUGGGAGAGGUGAUAUCGAUGACGACAUGCAUGCAUAGUGUUAGUACUUCAGACAACAACUAGACAACCACUGCUGUUGUAUCUCCAUGAAUAAAAGCAAACAAGAACUAGAGUAGACUUGCCGAGGGAUGGGAGUAUAGGAAAGGAUGUUGUUUGUGUACUAUACAACGGGAAGUAAAGCUGUAAUAUACUGGUACUGGCAACUCUGAUAUGAAUAAAGCUUGGCUAGCUGUUUAUGAUGUACACUCAUGCCUUCUAUGUGUAUGAAAUUUCAUUCAUGCACAUGCGGCGCUGUCACAUAAUUUGGGGCGUGACAAGCUGUGUGAGAGGCUGCGCUGGAGGAGUCAAAACGAGCUCGUGCUACUGGGAAGGUGGUGAUUAAUGAAGGUGCGAAGGUCACCGACAUUGCUGGGAGCUCUGGCGGCUCGACAACUGUUGAUCCGAGGGUCUAGGAUUGGCUUGAGAAGGAACUUAGUAUUUUUGGUUUUUGGAUGUUUUUUAGAUGAAAAUGAUGUAAAUAUUCCCACCUUUGGCUAAGCGAUUGUGCCAGCUCAAGUACUCAUUGUUUCCCCCCUACGGGUCCGGCGCGAAGGUGUUUCUGCACCGUGGUCGGAGUGGGAGCGGUUCAGUUUUGCUCAUUUGGGAGCAAGUGUUGCUGAAUUUUUGCAUGCUAGCGGUGCUAGGAGUAUCUAGGGGUUUGGACAAAAGUAUGUGAUGAACAAGUUAUCUUGUGUAUAUAUUUGUUGCGAUGCAUGAGAAAUGAUUCGAUGUUGUUUGCAC